This 73-nucleotide transfer RNA is filed under the name Fibrobacter sp. Its description in RNAcentral is "tRNA-Arg". It matches the Rfam family "tRNA". Rfam says of the family: Transfer RNA (tRNA) molecules are approximately 80 nucleotides in length. Their secondary structure includes four short double-helical elements and three loops (D, anti-codon, and T loops). Further hydrogen bonds mediate the characteristic L-shaped molecular structure. tRNAs have two regions of fundamental functional importance: the anti-codon, which is responsible for specific mRNA codon recognition, and the 3' end, to which the tRNAs corresponding amino acid is attached (by aminoacyl-tRNA synthetases). tRNAs cope with the degeneracy of the genetic code in two manners: having more than one tRNA (with a specific anti-codon) for a particular amino acid; and 'wobble' base-pairing, i.e. permitting non-standard base-pairing at the 3rd anti-codon position. Lineage: Bacteria; Pseudomonadati; Fibrobacterota; Fibrobacteria; Fibrobacterales; Fibrobacteraceae. The record is from RNAcentral.
GUCCUCAUAGCUCAAUUGGAUAGAGCGCGCCCCUCCUAAGGGUGAUAUCUGCGUUCGAUUCGCGGUGGGGAUA